UUCCGGUUGAUCCUGCCGGACCUGACUGCUAUCGGAUUGAUACUAAGCCAUGCGAGUCAUUGUAGCAAUACAAGGCAGACGGCUCAGUAACGCGUAGUCAACCUACCCUAUGGACGGGGAUAACCUCGGGAAACUGAGAAUAAUACCCGAUAGAACAUUAUACCUGGAAUGGUUUAUGUUUCAAAUAAUUUAUUGCCGUAGGAUGGGACUGCGGCCUAUCAGUUUGUUGGUGAGGUAAUGGCCCACCAAGACUAUUACAGGUACGGGCUCUGAGAGGAGUAGCCCGGAGAUGGGUACUGAGACACGGACCCAGGCCCUAUGGGGCGCAGCAGGCGAGAAAACUUUGCAAUGUGCGAAAGCACGACAAGGUUAAUCCGAGUGGUUUCUGCUAAAGGAACCUUUUGUUAGUCAUAGAACCACUAAUGAAUAAGGGGUGGGCAAGUUCUGGUGUCAGCCGCCGCGGUAAAACCAGCACCUCAAGUGGUCAGGAUGAUUAUUGGGCCUAAAGCAUCCGUAGCCUGCUUUGUUAGUUUUCGGUUAAAUCCAUACGCUCAACGUAUGGGCUGCCGGGAAUACUGCAAAGCUAGGGAGUGGGAGAGGUAGACGGUACUCGGUAGGAAGGGGUAAAAUCCUUUGAUCUAUUGAUGACCACCUGUGGCGAAGGCGGUCUACCAGAACACGUCCGACGGUGAGGGAUGAAGCUGGGGGAGCAAACCGGAUUAGAUACCCGGGUAGUCCCAGCUGUAAACUAUGCAACUCGGUGAUGCAUUGGCUUGAUGCCAAUGCAGUGCCGCAGGGAAGCCGUUAAGUUUGCCGCCUGGGAAGUACGUACGCAAGUAUGAAACUUAAAGGAAUUGGCGGGGGAGCACCACAAGGGGUGAAGCCUGCGGUUCAAUUGGAGUCAACGCCGGAA
Molecule: ribosomal RNA, 913 nt
Filed under: uncultured archaeon
Lineage: Archaea
Description: bacterial SSU rRNA
Rfam family: Archaeal small subunit ribosomal RNA
Source: RNAcentral